GAACGCACCUUGCGCUCCUUGGUAUUCCGAGGAGCAUGCCUGUUUGAGUGUCAUUAAAUUCUCAACUAUACAAGUUUUUGAAACCUGUAUAGCUUGGAUCUUGGGAUCUGCGGGCUUUUACCAGCCGGCUAUCCUCAAAUGCAUUAGCAGAGCUUUUGCCGCUAACCUAUGGUGUGAUAAUUAUCUACGCCAUCGAGAGGCGACAUAUUGAAGCUACGCUUCUAAUCGUCCUUUGGGACAAUUAUUGACAAUCUGACCUCAAAUCAGGUAGGACUACCCGCUGAACUUAAG
This 291-nucleotide unclassified non-coding RNA is filed under the name uncultured Clitopilus. Its description in RNAcentral is "sequence contains 5.8S rRNA gene". The stretch from base 1 to 53 matches the Rfam family "5.8S ribosomal RNA", at positions 102 to 154 of the family's 154-position model. Lineage: Eukaryota; Fungi; Basidiomycota; Agaricomycetes; Agaricales; Entolomataceae. The record is from RNAcentral.